UGGAGAAGGAGUAACACUGCCCCCACGAAUCUACUGUUUUUGCUCACACCUUGAAGAGGAGAUUUUCGUAAACACGCACCACGGAAUACAUACAAAAGGGGUUAAAAGUUUUGAAGUUGGACUGAAAACAAAGAGAAGGAGAAGAACGAUAUAGGAGAAGUAACCAUAUAAGAGAGCUAUGGAGCCUGCCUACGUGAACAGAGAGGUCUAUGCUGAAAACCAGAAUAACUCGCCGUACAUUUUCCAGGAGGAAGUGAAAGUCCAGCAUGCGGAGAAUGUGUGGACCAGCCAGCCUGAGGCCACGAGGACGCAGGCACACUCCACCGAGUCCAAGGCUGACAAGCAGGAGGAAAACUGCUGCAUGGGGUGCUGUCGGAGCACCCACCGCUGCCUGAUGAGCGGGGAAUGCGGCCGCGCACUCAACAUCGCCAGCGUGGUCGCCAUGUGCGGCAUGUGCCUGCGCUUUUUCAUCUAGAUCUAAAUCCAUACAUCAGCCUAGAUCUUUCAUCACACCAUGAAGAAACUCAACAGAGAACGCAGAGUGGGACGAGUGGGACGACAAGCCUAGUAUUCUCUACCCUGUUUCUGUAUAUGUCCCUAUUGGUAGCUCUGUCUAAGUGUGACGCAACAGGAAGUAAAGGGUGUAUAUCUUCCAACAUGCACAUGUGAGAACAAAGAAGUAAAGCUGCGUAUAUAUAUGUGUGUGUGUGUGUGUAUGUGUGUGUGUGUGUGUCUGUGUGUGUGAGUCUUUUAUGUAUAUUAUUCUUUCUAAGUUAGUAUUAUUUCUCAAACCUAAAAUGACGGACAAAUUGGUCUCUGAGGGUUUGUGGAACAUGUGACUCAAUCGUGCAAUGAUAAAUAAUAUCAUAUCUCACUACUAAUCUCCUGUUACACAACAUGCCAAGCCUUCAGGGUUAUGCCUGUAGGCUAAAUCGCGGUUGAACAACAAACAAUGCUCAUGCAGCUUCAGUUCCAUCCGGUGAAAGCAACUAUAUUCUCUGAACACAUUGUGGUGGAAUAAUGUAAGCCUACUGCUUGGGUAUGUUUUUAUAGACCCCCACUGUGUUCAGUGAUAAACAACUAUUUAUGACAUGUCAGCAUCUAUGCUUUCCUCUCCUUUUUUGUUCUCAUCUCGAGAGAUCUUCCUCUGUCCCACCCCCUUACGGAGAUCUGUGAUCUCUGUCCUCUAUCUCCUGAGAGAGCAGAGCAAAGAAUGUGUGAUUGAGAAAACAAGCGUGGAGGUUGACCUCGCUUGUUCACAGGCUUUCAUGAUUUCUAUCAUUUUGCACUUGUAGUGGUGG
Molecule: long non-coding RNA, 1301 nt
Organism: Clupea harengus (Atlantic herring)
Lineage: Eukaryota; Metazoa; Chordata; Actinopteri; Clupeiformes; Clupeidae
Source: Ensembl